Molecule: ribosomal RNA, 426 nt
Filed under: uncultured bacterium
Lineage: Bacteria
Description: bacterial SSU rRNA
Rfam family: Bacterial small subunit ribosomal RNA
Source: RNAcentral
GGGCCCGCACAAGCGGUGGAGUAUGUGGUUUAAUUCGAUGCAACGCGAAGAACCUUACCAGGGUUUGACAUCCUGCGAAUCUCUUGGAAACAGGAGAGUGCCUUCGGGAACGCAGUGACAGGUGGUGCAUGGCUGUCGUCAGCUCGUGUCGUGAGAUGUUGGGUUAAGUCCCGCAACGAGCGCAACCCACGUCUUUAGUUGCCAGCAUUUAGUUGGGCACUCUAGAGAGACUGCCGGUGAUAAACCGGAGGAAGGUGUGGAUGACGUCAAGUCAUCACGGCCCUUACGUCUAGGGCUACACACGUGCUACAAUGGUAAGUACAGAGCGUUGCUGCUUGGUGACAAGUUGGCUAAUCGCUAAAGCUUAUCUCAGUUCGGAUUGGAGUCUGCAACUCGACUCCAUGAAGUUGGAAUCGCUAGUAAUCG